Molecule: ribosomal RNA, 537 nt
Filed under: uncultured bacterium
Lineage: Bacteria
Description: bacterial SSU rRNA
Rfam family: Bacterial small subunit ribosomal RNA
Source: RNAcentral
AAUAGAUACCCUGGUAGUCCACGCCGUGAACGUUGGAUACUAGGUGUGGCGGUUAUACCAAUGACUGCCGUGCCGAAGCUAACGCAUUAAGUAUCCCGCCUGGGGAGUACGGCCGCAAGGCUAAAACUCAAAGGAAUUGACGGGUCCCCGCACAAGCGGCGGAGCAUGCGGCUUAAUUCGAUGCAACCCGAAGAACCUUACCUGGGUUUGACAUCACGGGAAAAGCUGUAGAAAUACAGUGUCCGUAAGGGCCCGUGACAGGUGGUGCAUGGCUGUCGUCAGCUCGUGUCGUGAGAUGUUGGGUUAAGUCCCGCAACGAGCGCAACCCUUGUCCUAUGUUGCCAGCAGUUCGGCUGGGGGACUCGUAGGAGACUGCCGGGGAUAACUCGGAGGAAGGUGAGGACGACGUCAAGUCAUCAUGCCCCUUAUAUCCAGGGCUGCACGCAUGCUACAAUGGCCGGUACAACGGGCAGCGACCCCGCGAGGGUGAGCGAAUCCUAUAAAGCCGGUCCCAGUUCGGAUUGAAGUCUGCAACUC